This 373-nucleotide ribosomal RNA is filed under the name uncultured Bacteroidota bacterium. Its description in RNAcentral is "bacterial SSU rRNA". It matches the Rfam family "Bacterial small subunit ribosomal RNA", at positions 521 to 896 of the family's 1533-position model. Lineage: Bacteria; Pseudomonadati; Bacteroidota. The record is from RNAcentral.
UAAUACGGAGGGUCCAAGCGUUAUCCGGAAUCAUUGGGUUUAAAGGGUUCGUAGGCGGAUUAAUAAGUCAGAGGUGAAAUCCCACAGCUCAACUGCAGAACUGCCGCUGAUACUGUGUUUCUUGAGUAUAGUUGAAGUGGGCGGAAUGUGUCAUGUAGCGGUGAAAUGCAUAGAUAUGACACAGAACACCGAUUGCGAAGGCAGCUCACUAAACUAUUACUGACGCUGAGGCACGAAAGCGUGGGUAGCGAACAGGAUUAGAUACCCUGGUAGUCCACGCCGUAAACGAUGAUUACUCGAUGUUGGCGAUACACUGUCAGCGUCCAAGCGAAAGUGUUAAGUAAUCCACCUGGGGAGUACGGUCGCAAGAUUG